This 1122-nucleotide ribosomal RNA is filed under the name Triticum aestivum (bread wheat). Its description in RNAcentral is "partial small subunit ribosomal RNA". Lineage: Eukaryota; Viridiplantae; Streptophyta; Magnoliopsida; Poales; Poaceae. The record is from RNAcentral.
ACCAAGUCUAAAUUUUGUGCCCUUUAUGACACUUCAGUCCAUUUUCCCAUCUAACACCGUUAAAUUGCAUGUAAAAAGACACUUUUGCCCUUCAUGUCAUAUGUGACCAAAUUUUUAAUAGAUGUUAAAUAUUAAAAAAAACUCAUGUCUAGCUCAACUGGCCCCGCAGCCGUGCCGGCAACUACUACAUGCAUCUAUGAUCACCAGGAAAUGCCUAAAUGAUCCAAUAAAUGGUUGAAUUGGGCCACUUAUGUCUUCUUAAAUAUGUUCAAGGAAAUUGGGAACGUAUUCUUAAUUUUGAGGUAAGUUGGAUUUAUAAUUUUCUUAUUUAAAAAUCAUUUAUGUGCGACGUUUGGCAGAGAUUUAAUAUAUAUAAUGUGAUCCAAAUGGUAAUGUGGUGUAAUUUUCAAGUAUUAGUUUAUCAUAUCCGUUGUUUCGACUAAAAGUAAAUAUUCAAUGUUAUUUUCAGAACUUGUUUCCAGAUGUAAAACUUUAAUCGGAUAUCUCUAUACUUAAAAGGGUACUAGUGGAUUAAGGAUACAAGAGUGCAUCCUAAGUUGCAAUGGUUGUAUCCACGGGAAGAACAAUUAUGUGUCUACGAGAACCUCCAAUUGAUGCACCAUGUGAAGUCAUGUUGACAUUUUCUUUUCUCUUUGGUAAGGUUAUGGAAUAAAUUUUAUUUUCCCUAGUAUUGUGUUAGUGGUGUAUAUAUUCACUAAACAAGGUUCUUCCAUUCCUCUGUUUCCAUAUGCCGCUGCACCAUCAUCCACUGCCAUGCUGAGGUGGUGGAGAUUAGCAGGCAGCAGUCUUAAUGGCGUUGAUGGGGAGGUGUCUUCGCGGUGCUGAUGGGGAGGUUGAGACCUCGUGGAAUCCAUGUUCUCAGGCGGAGGCUAAGUUGGCGAUUUGUCACUGCAGUUGUGAAUCAGCAUAAGAGAUGGCACGCUUAGGUGCCGAGGGCCUCGCUAGAUCCAGAUGGAUUGUAGGAGCCGCAAUCUCGCUCGCCACUCUGCGGGGGUUUGUCAAGGUUGAUGGCGAGCCUCUACAGGGUGAUGUAGUGGCUUUUUUUUUUUGAAAAAACUCAGACUUUAUUCAUUUGUAAUAAGUAAUACAUCGUUUGUGAGG